UGUGCUAAGGUAGCAUAAUAAUUUGUCUUUUAAUUGAAGACUGGAAUGAAAGGCAUCAUGGGGAUAAGCUGUCUUAUAUAAAAUCCUUAAAAUUUUUUUAGAAGGUGAAAAUACCUUUAAAAUAUACAUAAGACGAGAAGACCCUUAGAAUUAUGACAAUGCUCUUGAUUAGGGGAAAGUUUUUGUUGGGGCAACAUUGUCAGAUUGAAAACUGAUAAUUUUUAAAAUUAAACAAGACCAUUAUAUUUUAUAUGUAUUUAAUUACCUAAGGGAUAACAGCAUAAUUCCUAUAGGAGAGUAUGACCUCGAUGUUGGACUAAGGACUUUUUACACUAGAUGUGAAAAAAGCUUGUUCUGUUCGAACAAUAAUAACCUUACGUGAUCUGAGUUCAGACC
Molecule: ribosomal RNA, 396 nt
Filed under: Mastus riedeli
Lineage: Eukaryota; Metazoa; Mollusca; Gastropoda; Stylommatophora; Enidae
Description: partial 16S ribosomal RNA
Rfam family: Bacterial large subunit ribosomal RNA
Source: RNAcentral